Molecule: long non-coding RNA, 558 nt
Filed under: Monodelphis domestica (gray short-tailed opossum)
Lineage: Eukaryota; Metazoa; Chordata; Mammalia; Didelphimorphia; Didelphidae
Description: lncRNA (ENSMODG00000037517.1)
Source: RNAcentral
GAAAAUUAUUAUGUUUCUUUUUUUUUUUUUCUUUUUUUUUUUUUUUGUUUUUUUUUUCAUUAUUUCCCUGGAUAUCCUUGAUCUUUUGUUAUUCCAAAUGAACUUUGUUAUGGUUUUUUCCUAAAUCAGUAAAGAAAUUUUUUGGGAGUUCAAUGGGUAUGGCACUAAAUAGAUAAAUAAGUUUGGGUAGGAUGGUCACUUUUAUUAUAUUGGCUCAUCCUAUCCAUGAGCAGUUAAUGUUUUUCUAAUUGCUCAAGUCUAGUUUUAGUUGUGUGGCGAGUGUUCUGUAGUUGUGUUCAUAUAGUUCCUGUGUUUGUCUCAGGAGAUAGAUUCCUAGGUAUUUUAUUUUGUCUAAGGUGAUUUUGAAUGGGAUUUCUCUUUCUAGUGUUUGUUGCUGAGUUGUGUUGGAGAUAUAUAGAAAUGCUGAUGACUUAUGUGGGUUUAUUUUGUAUCCUGCAACUUUGCUAAAGUUGUUGAUUAUUUCAAUUAGCUUUUUGGUUGAAUCUCUAGGAUUCUUUAAGUAGACCAUCAUAUCAUCCACAAAGAGUGAUAACUUGG